Long non-coding RNA from Passer domesticus (house sparrow), 393 nucleotides. RefSeq lists it as uncharacterized. The record is from RefSeq and is a predicted model, not a curated record. NCBI's taxonomy places the organism in Eukaryota, Metazoa, Chordata, Aves, Passeriformes, Passeridae. The transcript has 3 exons.
UUCACCUGGAAAAAAUAUCAGGGUAGAGAAAGGCAAAAUCUGUCUGCCUGGUUCAAAGUCUGGGUUUGCCUUUCUGAAAGGGAAUUACAUCAUGCUAGAAAAUAAUCACCUGAGGAUUCAAAGGCCAAGACACAAGGGCUGUACUCACAACAGGAGAGGUGGAUCCAAGUUCAGCUGUUCCCAGACCAGAGGUGCUCCCAGAGCACAACCACCAUCACCCAGAGCACGUGCUCUGCAUCCCAUACCCAACCCACAUGAGGAGCCACAAAACAGCUGUGAAGACAUCUGGCUGAACUAACCAAGCCCAUACAUCAGGUCUUUGUUCAGCUUCAGAUCCACAGACACAAUAUGAAAGAAGCAGUUGAGGAGUAAAAGGAGCAUAUUGCUGCAGAC